GCCGGUAUAGCUCAAUUGGUAGAGUAACUGAUUUGUAAUCAGUAGGUUGAAGGUCCGAUUCCUUCUGCCGGCA
RNAcentral lists this transfer RNA (73 nucleotides) under secondary endosymbiont of Trabutina mannipara. It matches the Rfam family "tRNA". Rfam says of the family: Transfer RNA (tRNA) molecules are approximately 80 nucleotides in length. Their secondary structure includes four short double-helical elements and three loops (D, anti-codon, and T loops). Lineage: Bacteria; Pseudomonadati; Pseudomonadota; Gammaproteobacteria; Enterobacterales; Enterobacteriaceae. The record is from Rfam by way of RNAcentral.